This 449-nucleotide ribosomal RNA is filed under the name uncultured bacterium. RNAcentral describes it as "bacterial SSU rRNA". It matches the Rfam family "Bacterial small subunit ribosomal RNA", at positions 53 to 507 of the family's 1533-position model. The record is from RNAcentral.
ACAUGCAAGUCGAGGGUAUAGUUCUUCGGAAUUAGAGACCGGNGCACGGGUGCGUAACGCGUAUGCAAUCUACCUUUCACAGAGGGAUAGCCCAGAGAAAUUUGGAUUAAUACCUCAUAGUAUAGCAGUUUCGCAUGAAACCACUAUUAAAGUCACAACGGUGAAAGAUGAGCAUGCGUCCAUUAGCUAGUUGGUAAGGUAACGGCUUACCAAGGCAACGAUGGGUAGGGGUCCUGAGAGGGAGAUCCCCCACACUGGUACUGAGACACGGACCAGACUCCUACGGGAGGCAGCAGUGAGGAAUAUUGGACAAUGGGCGCAAGCCUGAUCCAGCCAUGCCGCGUGCAGGAUGACGGUCCUAUGGAUUGUAACUGCUUUAUACAGGAAGAAACACUACUUCGUGAAGUAGCUUGACGGUACUGUAAGAAUAAGGAUCGGCUAACUCCGUG